Molecule: long non-coding RNA, 264 nt
Filed under: Homo sapiens (human)
Lineage: Eukaryota; Metazoa; Chordata; Mammalia; Primates; Hominidae
Description: HSALNT0003577
Source: RNAcentral
CUCGCUCAGCGGCCAAGGUGGGCGUCUCCACCACAAUCUCCUGGAUCCGGGCAGGCAAUGGGCAGCAGUUCUGGAAGCUAACCCACCUGCUUUCCGGGGCCCAGCCCGUGCCCUCACCAGCCUCACAGUUUCCAGGAGACAGUGGAGCAACAGCUCUGAGGGACUCAUCAGGUGCCUCAAGCUUGAGCCUUCUGACAAGACACUGUUCUGGCAGGCUGGACCAGGGCUGGUGCUAAAGUUCCCCCAGGAGGGCUGGGGGAGUUA